UCCAAAUAUUCGUCAGAUAUUCUACACACAUAAAUACAUUUGUAUGUAUAUACACAGGCAUAUGUGAGUAUCUGAGGAGGAAAUGAUAAAAAUGUUUCCUUCGAAAAUGAUUUCACCAUUCCUUGAAUGUAGAUUUUAUUUAAAAUUUUUCGAUUUUUUAUCUACUUAAAAUUCAAUGCAGAUUUCUAUUAUAAUUCAAAUAUUCGUGAAAUAUUCCAAAUAAAUUUACGGAAAAUUUAAACCCAUACAUUUUAAGAAAGAGUGAACACAGAAAAAAGCCCAAAAUUUUCAUAUCUAGGCAAGAGAUCGAGGUCGAAGUUGAAGUAUGUAUAUACGAGUAUACACUGACACAUAUGCGCAUACAUACAUACCGCAAGAUUUCGAGAAAUUGCAGCAAAGGUACAGUUGAAGUCCGUUACUAAAGCCUUAGCCAAGCAAUCCAUAGAUAUGUACAUAUGUAUGCAUGUACAUACGCCCUUGGUGUAGAUAACGACAAAAUACACUAACAAUACCAAAGCCAUUUCCAACAGCUCAAAAAUCCAAGAAAAUGAACUAAACAAAUAAUAAAGGAGAUAUGAAGAAAACUGUGGAGGGUGAAAAACUAUUGUUCCACAAAUGCUGAUUGUGCCUGUGUAGUCACUGAUUUCAGGUUGUUGCUGUUAACCUGCGACCAUGAAAAUGUGCAAAUGAGACACAACAACAAAACUGUUAUGUAGAGUGACUAAAUACUUCAACCCCUAAUCCUAGAAUAGUGGACAAUGAAUGACUGUGCUAAAAUAGGGAAAUGAGUAGAUAGCUGAGCGUAGGUGUAAAUGAGUGAACGAAAGAGAAAGAGUGUGAACGAUGAGAUGCAGUUCAUGCGUAGAGGUGCGAAAGAGCAGAAUGGCGUAUGGGAUUAGCAAUCAUUGUUAAGGGUGGAAUUCCCUCACAGAUCGUGGCAAGGUCAUGUUUUUCUGGCCUAUAUAAGGCCAUCGCUGUCAGACCGAAGGCAUACACUUCAAGUGCACCGUUCAUAGAACAUCACGUAGCGCUACAUAGCAAUUGCUUUAAGCUGGCGUUUUACGUGUUGAAAAGCUUUAAAUAGUUUAAAUUUAUUAGUUAAAAUUUUUAGUUAAAAUUCAAAUUUUUAGUUAAAAUUUAUUUUUGUAAAUAUGUAAAUUUUGCAACUAAAUGUUCGCGUUUGCUGAGUUAUUGGUGUAUUUAAUUACUUAAACUGGAGAGAAAGACAGAGGCACUAGCCCCCUGACCCAGGUUACGGAGGUGCAAGCAAUCUAUGAACGAUUAUAAUGAGAAGAAAAUCAAGAUCGGAAGAGCAAGGAUGAGUUGGCGGACUCUUUCCAAAACUAUCGGUCAUUGGACUCUCUCUUUGGACCUUUAACUACGAGCGCAAACAGGGGGGAUAUUUUAACAUAGACAUAGAGGAUUGAGAAGUAGCAGCGUCAGCAGUAAUAGCAACAAGAGAAGCAGCAACAACAGCAACAAUGCCAAUGAUGAUGAUGAUAAUGGUGAUGGUGAUGGUGAUGAUGGGACAAAAACAAAAGCAACGAAAGCGGUGAGUGGUGUGGUGACCUCUAACUGUAAAUGCUGAAUGUGCUGCAGAAAAUGUGUGCUAUUGGUUGGCUGGUGAAUAAUGUAACAACAACAGAAACAUGUAAAUAUAACAACGGGGGAUAUGAAGACAAAGCGAUCUUCAAGCAAUCAAUAGUAGAAGCCAGUAAAAGAUCGAGUUAAGGCGUAAAUGUACACCUUUUGAGAUUAAAAGCGAAGAAAGCAACUGAUUUCUUGCACGCACUGCGAAGGCGCUACGCUCGUACGAACUCUGAGAUGAAGUAAAUAAACCAACGAUAAGAAAAACAAGUCACGCGGUCUUCAAGCAAUCAAAACGAACAUUAGUGAGUAGUAGCUGAUAAUAACAACAAAAAGUAACAAUAAUAAGCACCAAUUGAAAAUAACAACGACAAAAUUGAAAUUAUACCGAAAACUAACCAUUACACACGAGAAAAAAAAAAGUUCUCAAGUGUGCGUACUGCCGAAGCAUAGCUGCAUUUCCGGCUCAAAGAACAUCAUGGGGCAAGAGCGGGCAUCAACAGAUGCACUAUUCGGGCACUACGCACAUUUCGAAGUUUUCUAAAUACACAUAUGAAAUGUGUAAUUAGCUACGCGAAGGUGAGAAUAAUUUGCAACUUUUCUUCAAACAACUACGUAAUCGAUCGAUUUUAAGCGGUAAUAUUAAAAUUUCGAUAGUAAAACCAAAAAAAGGCAACUUAACGUAGCGACCUGUGGCAUGCCUUACGCGAGCACUGCUCACAUUUGCGCUACGCUACAAGAGAGAAGACUGCGACAAACAAGUGACGCAGAGUCUUCAAGUAGUUUUAAGAAGUAACUAUAACAGCAACAAAAUGUAACUAUAAUACAAAAAGGGAAUUGGACGCAAGAAUUCAUUUGAAUUUGAUACUGAAAAUAAGUCGUUAACAUCUGGUGGAGUGGCGUACUGUCGAAGCAUAGUUGUAAUUUGGGCCACCAAUUUCACUGUCCCACUAUGCACUAUGCGGGCACUACGCUUUAUAACAAAUAAAAUAAUGUAUAUAUGUAUAUAUUUAGAAUCUUAGCUAAUAAAUAAUUAAAAUUUUAA
This is a long non-coding RNA of Anastrepha ludens (Mexican fruit fly), 2632 nucleotides long. RefSeq lists it as uncharacterized. The record is from RefSeq and is a predicted model, not a curated record. Lineage: Eukaryota; Metazoa; Arthropoda; Insecta; Diptera; Tephritidae. The transcript has 2 exons.